RNAcentral lists this ribosomal RNA (440 nucleotides) under uncultured bacterium. Its description in RNAcentral is "partial 16S ribosomal RNA". It matches the Rfam family "Bacterial small subunit ribosomal RNA", at positions 338 to 795 of the family's 1533-position model. The record is from RNAcentral.
CCUACGGGAGGCAGCAGUGGGGAAUAUUGCUCAAUGGUCGAAACCCUGAUGCAGCGACGCCGCGUGAGUGAAGAAGUAACUCGGUAUGUAAAGCUUCUUUUGUAGGGAAGAAAAUGACGGUACCUGUUCCAGAAGACCCGUCCAACUACAUGCCAGCAGCCGCGGCAAUACGGAGGGGGCAAGCGUUAUCCGGAUUGACUGGGUGUAAAGGGAGCUUAGACGGUAGCAUAAGGCUGGCGUGAAAUGGCGGGGCUUAACCCCGGAACUGCCUUGGAAACUGGGCGGCUAGAGUGCAGGAGAGGUAAGUGGAAUUCCUGGUGUAGCGGUGAAAUGCGUAGAUAUCACGAGGAACACCAGUGGCGAAGGCAGCUUACUGGACUGUAACUGACGUUGAGGCUCGAAAGCGUGGGUAUCGAACAGGAUUAGAUACCCCAGUAGUC